GAAUUUUUAAUUUUAGGUUUUUGAGGAAUCUUCAUACUGGUUUCCAUAAUGGUUGUACUAGUUUACAUUCUCACCAACAAUGGGUUCUUUUUUCCCCCACAGCUUUGCAGCAUUUAUUAUUUGAUUUCUUGAUGAUUGUCAUCCUUUACUAGAGUAAGGUGAAAUUUCAGUGUUUUUUAAACUUGCAUUUGAUCAUGGUCUACUACGUUGAAUAUUUUUUCAUAUCAUAUCUUUGAUUCCUCCAAGGUGAUGUUAACCUUAUCUUGACCUAGGGGGUCACAAUGGCAGCAAGAGUUAAAAAAAAGAGACUGGCAUAUUAUACGGAGGUAUUCCAGAAACAGCUUUGGAAGAUAUGAGUAAAUGUCUGCAUAGAAAUAGACAUAAACUAAUGCAGAGAUGGAUACGGGUAGAAAGAAUAAGAAGAUAAACGGAUUGUGGUAAAAGAAUAGGAAGAAUAAAAGGACAAUGGUGAAAAUAUGGAAAUAACAGUAUAUAAAAAUGGAAAGUAAUUGACUUAAGCACAUCCCUUUAUGUGUUCAAGUUUAAGAUAAGAAAAAACAAUCACUUCUAAAAACAAGAUUUACCUGAUGGAACCCACUGAAGUUCGUUUUCUGAGCACACCCUAAGGUCAACUGAAGCCCAGGUACAUAUUUUCUUGGCUUGCAGUGUGAUUCUCAAGUAAGACUAGAACUUUACCUUUGUUGACUUUCUAUUUCUUUAGUUUGUUUUUGUUGAUGCUGUCAUUUUUCAUGUUUGCUUUUAUUUCUGGGUAAGUUUAUUAUUCUCUCUCUCUCUUACCAAGACCAUAAUUAGGGUUGUGUUUGAAUAUAAGGAACUAGUGAGUCUCAUAACAUUGCUUAGUCUAGACUACAUGUAGAAGCACUGUUUAUAAAAAUCUGCUUUGUGUAAGAACAGUAAGUUAUUCUCGUGCUGGUAAGUGAUUUGGGUAACUGUUCCCCAAAAGCCCAUGUAUUGAAGGUUUGCCCCCCAGUCUGUGGCACCAUUAAGAGGCAUUGGAAACUUUAAAAAGCUUGUAACUUUUGGGAGUAAGUUAGGUCAUUAGAGGAGUGGCCUUAAAAGGGACUGUGGGACCCUGGCCUCCUUCUUGUCUCUUUUUUGUUUCCCAGUUGAGGGGUGCAUCUUCCUCUACCACAUUCAAUGGGCCAACCAGCUAUGGACUAAAACCUCCAAAACUGGGAGCCAAAAAGUAAACCUUUCCUCCUUUUAAGUUGAUCCUCUCAUUUGUUUUGUUACAGUAGCAGAAAGCUGACCAAAACAUUCCUUCUUAGUGGAAGUGGAAACUGAAAAUCUGGUUUUCUGAUAUGAAUACUUUUUAAAAUUUCUAUUGAAAUGACAGGUAUUAUUUUCUGUUGAAUAAUAGAAUUGUUUGCUAAUCUAUUCUUUGUUAUUUUGCCUUUUUUUUUUCUUAACAUGAGCUCAAAUUAAGUAGAAAAUAUUUUGUGCUCACUGAAAAUGAGAACAACUCCUUGGGACCUGACUCAUGAAUUUACAUCAAAAUUAAAGCUGGACACCUAGCUGCUAAGAAAAAGGACACAUCCCUUUGUCCACUUUGCAUCCAGAUGUAAGCAGAUGUUUGUGGUGUGGGAAGUCCAGACAGAUAAAAGAGAGGGAUAAGACUCAGGUAUCAUUGCUAGUUGUUUGGACCAAAAGGCACCUCCAUAGAUGGACUUACUACAUCACCUAGAACAGGUGAUUAUUUGAAAAAAAUAGGCCUUAAUAAUAG
Long non-coding RNA from Heterocephalus glaber (naked mole-rat), 1744 nucleotides. The record is from Ensembl. NCBI's taxonomy places the organism in Eukaryota, Metazoa, Chordata, Mammalia, Rodentia, Bathyergidae.